This 253-nucleotide ribosomal RNA is filed under the name uncultured bacterium. RNAcentral describes it as "partial 16S ribosomal RNA". It matches the Rfam family "Bacterial small subunit ribosomal RNA", at positions 524 to 776 of the family's 1533-position model. The record is from RNAcentral.
UACGUAGGGCGCAAGCGUUGUCCGGAAUUAUUGGGCGUAAAGAGCUCGUAGGCGGUUUGUCACGUCGGGUGUGAAAGCCCGGGGCUUAACCCCGGGUCUGCAUUCGAUACGGGCAGACUAGAGUGUGGUAGGGGAGAUCGGAAUUCCUGGUGUAGCGGUGAAAUGCGCAGAUAUCGGGAGGAACACCAACAGCGAAGGCAGAUCUCUGGGACGUUACUGACGCUGAGACGCGAAAGCGUGGGGAGCAAACAGG